Long non-coding RNA from Gopherus evgoodei (Goodes thornscrub tortoise), 3083 nucleotides. RefSeq lists it as uncharacterized. Lineage: Eukaryota; Metazoa; Chordata; Testudines; Testudinidae. The record is from RefSeq and is a predicted model, not a curated record. The transcript has 6 exons.
GAGACUCUCAGAAGUGGACAUGAUCAGCCUGAACAUCCUUCUUAGGAGACACGAAUAGUCCUCGACUUUCUGCCUCCUGCAUAACUGGCUUACCAAGGGAAAAGAAGUCACAUGCCAGAGUCUACUGUCCUCGUGCGAUGGAAAGCGAGCGAGAGCGACGAGACCGUGAGCAUUGUUGAUGCAAGGCAGGAGCCGUCCAGCUGGCACUGGAGCAGCUGCUGUUGUCAGUGAGAUAAGUGUCUGGUUUGGUGAGGGCUCUGCUCACGGCCCACCUGGUUCCAGGUAGCGAUGCCCCAUUAGCUGGUUCCUGACCAGGUGUGUUUACAAGGUUGAGAAGGUCCCCAAUUUCAUUGGCUGAUCAUUUCUCUGUUCACAAGCAGUGUGUCCUCUGCAGGAGAAGGGUGGAUCCAGGGGGAUAAAUCCAGCUGGUGAGUUUUUUGCCUUCGUCCCGUGUUUCUUUCUCUCUCUCUUCUCUAGUAUGUUGGCCAACACUCUCUCUCUCUCUCUGUGUGUGUGUGUGUGUGUGUCCUUGCCUCUCCUUGUGCAGUUUCCCUUCAUAGCACACAGACAGGAGUGCUAGGUGUGCAUCCCCACAGGCUUGGUCUUGGCAGCUAUGAACAAGUAGGAGGGGAUGAAAAUCAUGUGGGGCAAUGGGCACUAGAGUGGAAUAGAAGCUGUUGGUAUUGACUCGGUUACUGUUCAUCGAGUGCGGCUGAUGUAGAUGGGAUGGGAGAGGGAGGCAGGGAUGAGGGCAAGAGCUCUGUGCAAUGAUGGCUCAUGCUUGGCUUUUGCAGCUGCUUUUACAGAGGAAUUGUUGUUCAGGAGCCCCAGCCAGAGGAGAAACUGGCAGAGGUGGAUCUGAGCAGCUUGGACAUCCUUCUAAGGAGACACGAACAGUCCUGGGUUUUCUGCCUCCCGCAUAACUACACUUCAUGACUUUAUCGGCAUGGCUAAAGCCUAAGAUAAAUGCAUGGUAGAGGCUGAGUUCACGCGGCUGCUUCCCUUUAGACAAAGAAGUCAAGGAUAAGAGCCCACGCCCCUUGUGAGAUGGAAAGCACACAAGAGCUGUGAGACAGCGAGCAUUGUUGAUGCCAGGCUAUGCAGAUGCCGUCGAGCUGGGAGUGGAGCAGCCGUCACCAUCAGUGAGAUAAGUGUCUGGUCUGGUGAGGACUCUGGUAAUGGCCGACGUGACUCCCUCCCACGUUUUUUUCUUUUUCUCCUCUAAUGUGUUGGCCAGCACAUUCUGUCUGUCUCUCCCCAUCUCCUUGCCUCUCUUUGUGCCGUCUCCCUUCAUAGGACACGGGCAGGUAUGGUAGGUGUGCAACACCACAGGCUAGGUCUUGUGAGCUAUGAACAAGUAGGGUAUGGAAAUCAUGCAGUGCAGUGGGCGCUAAAGUGCAGCAAUGACUGUGGGUGUUGGCUGAGCCUCUGCUCUAGUGGGGCUGAUGUGGAUGGGAUCGGAGAGGGAGGUAGGGAUGGGGGCAAGAUUUCACGCACUAACUGAAUUUUGUGCAGUGAUGACUCUUGCUUGGCUUAUUGGCUGUGCUUGCAGAGGAAUCGUCCGGGAGCAGCAGCUGGAGGAGAAACAGCCAGAUGUGGACUUGAGCGGCCUCGACAUCCUUUACCAAGGGAAAAGACGUGGAGGGUCAAGAGUCCGCUCCCCUCAUUUGAUGGAAAGCGAGGGAGAGCAGGGAGACCACAAGCAUUAUUGAUGCCAGGCAGGAGCCAUCCAGCUGGGAGCGGAGCAGCCAUCAUCAUCAGUGAGAUAAGUGCCUGUUCGUUGAGGGCUCUGCUCACUGCCCACUUGGCUCCAGGAAAAAGACGUCACGUGUGAGAGUGUACAGCCCUCAUGAUGAGUCACUCAAAGCGAGUGAGAGUGAUGAGACUGGGAGCGUUGUUGGUGCCAGGCAGGAGCUGUCCAUCUGGGAGCAGAACAGCCGCUACUAUCACUGAGAUAAGUAUCUGUUUUGCUGAGGGUUCUGCUCCUCCAACUAGAGACACUCCGUUAGGUGGGGCUGGGUUUGUAAGAAAAGGUUCCUGACUAGCUGUUGUUAUGAGGGAAACAAGGUCCCCAUUUUCAGGGGCUGGUCAUUGCUCUGGCCAGGAGCACUGUGUCAUCUGCAGUAGAAGGUUGGAUCCAGGAGGAUGACUCCAGGUGGUGAGUUGCUUGCCUUCCUCCUAUGCUUCUCUUUUUCUCUCUUUUCUCUACUGUGUUGGCCAACAUAGUCGCUCUCUCUGUCCUUGCCUCUCCUUGUGCUGUCCUCCUUCAUAGGACAUGGGCAGACAUGCUAGGUGUGCAUCUCCACGGCCUAUGUAUUGGGAGCCAUGAAGAACUAGGAGGGGACGAAAAUCAUGCAGAGCAGUGGGCACGAGAGUGGAGCGGUGACUGUUGGUGUUAACUCCAUCUCUGUUCAUCGAGUGGGGCUGAUGUAGAUGGGAUGGAAGAGGGAGGCAGGGAUGAGGGCAAGAUUUUCAGCACCCAUAGAGCUUUGUGUAGUGAUGGUUCAUGCUUGGCUUUUGUCUAGGAGACCCAGCCAAAGGAAGAGGUGGCAGAAGAGGAUCUGAGCUUCCUGGACAUCCUUCUAAGAUCUGAACAGGCUUCUGCUUUCUGCCUCCUGCUUAAUUGGCUGUGAGUAAGCAAUCAAUACUUCGAAUUGCACAUCUGUACUCACUGUAGUUUUCUUCACAGGCUAGAAGCCCAACAAUCUAGAAGCCAGAAACUGUCUAACAAGCAACUCGGAAACCAAUUAAACCGAAAACAAGCCUAAUUUCUGCGUCGUCUUUGCAGUGUUUGUUAAAAAUGGAAAAGAAGUCAAACAUAAGAGUUUACUCCCCUCGUACGAUGAAAUGCGAGCGAGGGCAGGGCGACCACAAACCUUCUUGAAAUCAGGCGGGAGCCAUACAUCUGGGAGUGGAGCAGCCACGACUGUCAGCGGGAUAAGUGUCUGGUUUGGUGAGGGCUCUGCUCAAGGCCACCUGGUUCCAUGUAGGGACACCCUGUUAGGUGGGGCUGGGUUUGUAAGAAAAGAAUCCUGUCUUGCUGUGGUUAUGAGGGAGACAGGGCCGUCCAGGGGAGGGGCGCC